UGGGGGAUAUUGCACAAUGGAGGAAACUCUGAUGCAGCGACGCCGCGUGAGUGAAGAAGUAUUUCGGUAUGUAAAGCUCUAUCAGCAGGGAAGAUAAUGACAGUACCUGACUAAGAAGCCCCGGCUAACUACGUGCCAGCAGCCGCGGUAAUACGUAGGGGGCAAGCGUUAUCCGGAUUUACUGGGUGUAAAGGGUGCGCAGGCGGCGCGCCAAGUCAGCGGCCAAAGUUCCGGGCUCAACCCGGUGUCGCCGUUGAAACUGGCGUGCUCGAGUGCGUGCGAGGAAGGCGGAAUGCGUUGUGUAGCGGUGAAAUGCAUAGAUAUGACGCAGAACUCCGAUUGCGAAGGCAGCUUUCCAGCGCGCUACUGACGCUGAGGCACGAAAGCGUGGGGAUCGAACAGGAUUAGAUACCCUGGUAGU
Molecule: ribosomal RNA, 421 nt
Filed under: uncultured Catonella sp.
Lineage: Bacteria; Bacillati; Bacillota; Clostridia; Lachnospirales; Lachnospiraceae
Description: bacterial SSU rRNA
Rfam family: Bacterial small subunit ribosomal RNA
Source: RNAcentral